RNAcentral lists this ribosomal RNA (2875 nucleotides) under Chaetoceros curvisetus. RNAcentral's name for it is "Bacterial large subunit ribosomal RNA". The record is from RNAcentral. Lineage: Eukaryota; Bacillariophyta; Thalassiosirophyceae; Chaetocerotales; Chaetocerotaceae.
GCCUGAAACUGUUCUUUGACCAGAUAAUGGUUCAAAGUUAGAAAUCUAACAUUAGAAGAGUGGUAUCUCACUGAUAGCUCCAGUAUUCCCGCAAGAAUACUUUCAACGCCUCCCACCUAUACUGCGCGACUAAAGUCCAAUUUCAAUUUCAGGUUACAGUAAAGCUUCAUAGGGUCUUUCUGUCCUGGUGCAGGUAGUCCGCAUCUUCACAGACAAGUCUAUUUCACCGAGCCCCUCUCCGAGACAGUAUCCAAAUCAUUACGCCUUUCGUGCGGGUCGGAACUUACCCGACAAGGAAUUUCGCUACCUUAGGACCGUUAUAGUUACGGCCGCCGUUCACCAGGGCUUCAGUCAUCAGCUUCGCAAAUGCUAACCAACUUCUUUAACCUUCUGGCACUGGGCAGGCGUCAGCCCCCAUACAUCGUCUUACGACUUAGCGGAGACCUGUGUUUUUGAUAAACAGUUGCUUGGAUCUUGUUAUUGCAGCCUUACGAAUAAGGCACUCCUUCUCCCGAAGUUACGGAGUUAUUUUGCCGAGUUCCUUAGAGAGAGUUAUCUCGCGCCCCUUAGUAUACUCUACCUACCCACCUGUGUCGGUUAUGGUACAGGCAUUUUUUAUUUAUGACAGUGCAAGCUUUUCUUGGAAGUAUGACAUACACUACUUCGACGCCUUAGCGUCUCGUACUCACGUCUCAACUCAAAGCGUUUUCGCCGCUUCUCAACAUCUUGAACGUUUAAACCGGUAACCAAUAUCCGGCUAGCUUAGCCUUCUCCGUCCCUCGUUGUCAAUAAAAAAUGGUACGGGAAUAUUAACCCGUUGUCCAUCGACUACGCUUUUCAGCCUCGCCUUAGGUCCUGACUUACCCUCCGCGGACGAGCCUUCCGGAGGAAACCUUGGGUUUUCGGGGUAUAGGAUUCUCACCUAUAUUUUCGUUACUCAAGCCGACAUUCUCACUUCUGCUUCGUCCAUAUCCGCUUACGCUAAUACUUCGACCUACAACAGAACGCUCCCCUACCGAUAUAUUUUUAUAUAUCGCACAGUUUCGGCAAAUUACUUAGUCCCGUUCAUUUUCGGCGCAGGUUUACUCGAUCAGUGAGCUAUUACGCACUCUUUAAAGGAUUGCUGCUUCUAAGCAAACCUCCUGAUUGUUUAUGCACUCCCACCUCCUUUAUCACUUAGUAAUUAUUUAAGGGCCUUAACUGGUGCUCUGGGCUGUUUCCCUCUUGACAAUGGAGCUUAUCCCCCACAGUCUUACUGGUAGACUGUACACUUAGUAUUCUUAGUUUGCAACGAUUUGGUACCGAAUUACCAGCCCGCAUACGUAACAGUGCUUUACCCCUAAGCUAUAACAUCUACCGCUGCGCCAAAACGCAUUUCGGGGAGAACCAGCUAGCUCCGAGUUCGAUUGGCAUUUCACCCCUAACCACAAUUCAUCCGCUGAUUUUUCAACAUCAGUCGGUUCGGUCCUCCACUUAGUAUUACCUAAGCUUCAACCUGACCAUGGUUAGAUCACCCGGGUUCGGGUCCAUAACUAGUGACAAACGCCCUAUUCAGGCUCGCUUUCACUGUGGCUCCAGCAUUCACUGCCUUAACCUGCCACUACCUAUGAGUCGCCGGCUCAUUCUUCAACAGGCACGCAGGCAGACGUUUUAGUCGUCCUUCUACUGCUUGUAAGUUUACGGUUUCAUGUUCUUUUCACUCCCCUCCCGGGGUUCUUUUCACCUUUCCCUCACGGUACUGUUUCACUAUCGGUCAUUCAGGAAUAUUUAGCCUUACGAGGUGGUCCUCGCAGAUUCACACGGAAUUUCACGUGCUCCAUGCUACUUGGGAUUCAAUUUGAUUGUUUCAAUUUUCGAAUACGAGACUAUCACUCUCUAUGGUCAAGUAUUCCAAACUUGUUCUUCUAAUUGUCACAGUAUCAUUUGUAAUUGUCCCACUACCCUCAAUUAUGAAUUGAGUUUAGGCUGUUCCCGUUUCGCUCGCCGCUACUCAGGGAAUCGUUUUUACUUUCUCUUCCUCCAGGUACUAAGAUGUUUCAGUUCCCUAGGUUCGCUCUUACUUAUCUAUGAAUUCAAUAAGCAGUUAUAUUAAAGUUUCCUCAUUCGGAGACCUCCGGAUCGUAGCUUGUUUCCAGCUCCCCGAAGCGUAUCGUCGGUAACCACGUCCUUCAUCGCUUCUGAAUGCCAAGGUAUCCCCCAUAAACUCUUAGUUCCUUGAAUUUAACACAGAAACUCUUUAGAGUUAAAAUACAUUUACAUACCCUCAAACAAUUUGUUUGAAGUAAUUUUUAAUUUAUUGUGGAGGUAAGCGGAGUCGAACCGCUGACAACCGCCGUGCAAAGGCGGUGCUCUACCAACUGAGCUAUACCCCCGCUGGGCCAUUCUGGAUUUGAACCAGAGACCUCACCCUUAUCAGGGGUGCGCUCUAACCAACUGAGCUAAUAGCCCUUUGAAUUUUUAGAUUCAAAGAUUUUUUAUUUUAAUCGACCAAGACUUUAAAAUUUUAAAUUUUAAAAGGAGGUGAUCCAACCGCACCUUCCAGUACGGUUACCUUGUUACGACUUCACCCCAGUCACCAAUUCUACCUUAGGCAUCCUCCUCCAAAUGGUUAGAGUAACGACUUCGGGUAUAACCAGCUUCCAUGGUGUGACGGGCGGUGUGUACAAGGCCCGGGAACGAAUUCACCGCUGUAUAGCUGACCAGCGAUUACUAGCGAUUCCACCUUCAUGUAGGCGAGUUGCAGCCUACAAUCCGAACUUAGAACGAGUUUAUAGAUUAGCUUACCCUCGCAGGUUUGCAUCUCAUUGUCUCGCCCAAUGUAGCACGUGUGUAGCCCAGGGUGUAAGGGGCAUGCUGACUUGACGUCAUCCCCGCC